This 468-nucleotide ribosomal RNA is filed under the name uncultured bacterium. Its description in RNAcentral is "partial 16S ribosomal RNA". It matches the Rfam family "Bacterial small subunit ribosomal RNA", at positions 28 to 507 of the family's 1533-position model. The record is from RNAcentral.
GACGAACGCGGGCGGCGGGCUGAACACAUGCAAGUCGAACGGAAAGGCCCUGCUUUUGUGGGGUGCUCGAGUGGCGAACGGGUGAGUAACACGUGAGUAACCUGCCCUUGACUUUGGGAUAACUUCAGGAAACUGGGGCUAAUACCGGAUAGGAGCUCCUGCUGCAUGGUGGGGGUUGGAAAGUUUCGGCGGUUGGGGAUGGACUCGCGGCUUAUCAGCUUGUUGGUGGGGUAGUGGCUUACCAAGGCUUUGACGGGUAGCCGGCCUGAGAGGGUGACCGGCCACAUUGGGACUGAGAUACGGCCCAGACUCCUACGGGAGGCAGCAGUGGGGAAUAUUGCACAAUGGGCGGAAGCCUGAUGCAGCAACGCCGCGUGCGGGAUGACGGCCUUCGGGUUGUAAACCGCUUUCGCCUGUGACGAAGCGUGAGUGACGGUAAUGGGUAAAGAAGCACCGGCUAACUACGUG